CCUACGGGAGGCAGCAGUGGGGAAUAUUGCACAAUGGGGGAAACCCUGAUGCAGCGACGCCGCGUGAGUGAAGAAGUAUUUCGGUACGUAAAGCUCUAUCAGCAGGGAAGAAAAUGACGGUACCUGACUAAGAAGCCCCGGCUAACUACGUGCCAGCAGCCGCGGUAAUACGUAGGGGGCAAGCGUUAACCGGAUUUACUGGGUGUAAAGGGAGCGUAGACGGCAGCGCAAGUCUGGAGUGAAAUCCCAUGGCUUAACCAUGGAACUGCUUUGGAAACUGUGCAGCUAGAGUGCAGGAGAGGUAAGCGGAAUGCGUAGUGUAGCGGUGAAAUGCGUAGAUAUUAGGAGGAACACCAGUGGCGAAGGCGGCUUACUGGACUGUAACUGACGUUGAGGCUCGAAAGCGUGGGGAGCAAACAGGAUUAGAUACCCCAGUAGUC
This 440-nucleotide ribosomal RNA is filed under the name uncultured bacterium. RNAcentral's name for it is "partial 16S ribosomal RNA". It matches the Rfam family "Bacterial small subunit ribosomal RNA", at positions 338 to 795 of the family's 1533-position model. The record is from RNAcentral.